CAUGCCGUAAACGAUGAGUGCUAAGUGUUAGGGGGUUUCCGCCCCUUAGUGCUGCAGCUAACGCAUUAAGCACUCCGCCUGGGGAGUACGACCGCAAGGUUGAAACUCAAAGGAAUUGACGGGGGCCCGCACAAGCGGUGGAGCAUGUGGUUUAAUUCGAAGCAACGCGAAGAACCUUACCUGGACUUGACAUCUCCUGAAUAGUGUAGAAAUACAUGAAGCCCUUCGGGGCAGGAAGACAGGUGG
Molecule: ribosomal RNA, 246 nt
Filed under: uncultured bacterium
Lineage: Bacteria
Description: partial 16S ribosomal RNA
Rfam family: Bacterial small subunit ribosomal RNA
Source: RNAcentral